GUUGGUGACCAGCGGAGGGAUCAUUACCGAGUUUACACUCCCAAACCCCUGUGGACCUAUACCUCUACUGUUGCCUCGGCGGGCACGGCCGCGGACGCCCCCUCGCGGGGGCGCCGGGGCUAGGCGCCCGCCGGGGGACCCAAACCCUUCUGUAUUUUCUUACGCAUGUCUGAGUGGAUUUAAUAUCGAAUGAAUCAAAACUUUCAACAACGGAUCUCUUGGUUCUGGCAUCGAUGAAGAACGCAGCGAAAUGCGAUAAGUAAUGUGAAUUGCAGAAUUCAGUGAAUCAUCGAAUCUUUGAACGCACAUUGCGCCCGCCAGUAUUCUGGCGGGCAUGCCUGUUCGAGCGUCAUUUCAACCCUCAAGCCCGCUGCGCGCUUGGUGUUGGGGACCGGCUCACCCGCCUCGCGGCGGCGGCCGCCCCUGAAAUGAAUCGGCGGUCUCGUCGCAGCCUCCUUUGCGUAGUAACACACCACCUCGCAACCGGGAGCGCGGCGCGGCCACUGCCGUAAAACGCCCAACUUCUCCAAGAGUUGACCUCGAAUCAGGUAGGACUACCCGCGGAACUUAAGCAUAUCAAUAAGCGGAGGAAAAGAAACCAACAGGGAUUGCCCCAGUAACGGCGAGUGAAGCGGCAACAGCUCAAAUUUGAAAUCUGGCCCCCCGGGGCCCGAGUUGUAAUUUGCAGAGGAUGCUUUUGGCGAGGCGCCUUCCGAGUUCCCUGGAACGGGACGCCACAGAGGGUGAGAGCCCCGUCUGGUCGGAUGCCGAGCCUCUGUAAAGCUCCUUCGACGA
This 795-nucleotide ribosomal RNA is filed under the name Epichloe sp. RNAcentral describes it as "eukaryotic LSU rRNA". The stretch from base 535 to 795 matches the Rfam family "Eukaryotic large subunit ribosomal RNA", at positions 1 to 263 of the family's 3401-position model. Lineage: Eukaryota; Fungi; Ascomycota; Sordariomycetes; Hypocreales; Clavicipitaceae. The record is from RNAcentral.